Molecule: long non-coding RNA, 900 nt
Filed under: Cicer arietinum (chickpea)
Lineage: Eukaryota; Viridiplantae; Streptophyta; Magnoliopsida; Fabales; Fabaceae
Description: long non-coding RNA (CARI_LNC000306)
Source: RNAcentral
UUAAAAACACUUGAAAUAUCCAUUUAAAAAAUAUUCACAUGGAUAUACAUAUGACACGAAUAUUAUUUUUAUCUAAUGAGACAUAUAAGAGACAAUUAAUAUUUGUACUCGUGGAUACCUAUCCAUGGUAUUCUUUCAUGCUCUAACUCCAUAGUGAAAUAAAGAACAGCUACACAAAUAACAAUUAUUGGGGAUAAGGAGCGAUAACAAACACUCCAAAAAUUGGAUGAAAAACUCCAAUAAACAUUACAUAAAAAUAAUUCAAAACUUAAAGACAUCAAGAAAUACAACACAUUGUCAAAAAAAAAAAUCCAAGUGUUAUUAAUUCUCUCCUCUCCUUAUUUAUUUGAUUCAUUCAUCCGAUGAUUUGAAAGGUAGCCUUCAAUAAAGCAUGUCUCUUUUAUUAUUCUCUCAACAAAAAAUUACUAAAAAAUAUGCAAUACUUUUUUGAACAACUAGUAGUUGUUCAACAAAACAGAACUCUCCUUGAAACAGAGGAGUUAGAGUCACAUGUUGUUGUUGACGAUGAAAAACAUUUGUCACCACUAAAAUCAUUCUCUUCUUCAACAAUAGUAUCCAACAUUUUCUUCAAUGGAAUUCGUGUCACCGACACAAACCUUGGUGGAGCAACCUCUGUUGUGAUUAAUCUUGCAAUUUUUUGUAACUUGUUGGCCAUUUCAUGAAACUCUAGUGUUGUUGAGGUAAACAAGUGAUGAAAACGUGAAGAAAUACGAGACAUAAAGAAAAAAGAAGAGUAGUUGUGUGUAUGCUUGUUUUUUGAGUGAGAGAAGAGAUAAAUAUAUAGGUGCUGAUGAAGUUGAAUUAAUGUUUAUCGAAAACAAUAGGCUUAAAUAUUCUAUCAGUAUAGUUAAAAAUACAAGAAAUUUAUUUUAGUUUCUA